This 557-nucleotide unclassified non-coding RNA is filed under the name Fusarium avenaceum. Its description in RNAcentral is "sequence contains ITS1, 5.8S rRNA gene and ITS2". The stretch from base 198 to 351 matches the Rfam family "5.8S ribosomal RNA". Lineage: Eukaryota; Fungi; Ascomycota; Sordariomycetes; Hypocreales; Nectriaceae. The record is from RNAcentral.
AAGUCGUAACAAGGUCUCCGUUGGUGAACCAGCGGAGGGAUCAUUACCGAGUUUACAACUCCCAAACCCCUGUGAACAUACCUUAAUGUUGCCUCGGCGGAUCAGCCCGCGCCCCGUAAAACGGGACGGCCCGCCAGAGGACCCAAACUCUAAUGUUUCUUAUUGUAACUUCUGAGUAAAACAAACAAAUAAAUCAAAACUUUCAACAACGGAUCUCUUGGUUCUGGCAUCGAUGAAGAACGCAGCAAAAUGCGAUAAGUAAUGUGAAUUGCAGAAUUCAGUGAAUCAUCGAAUCUUUGAACGCACAUUGCGCCCGCUGGUAUUCCGGCGGGCAUGCCUGUUCGAGCGUCAUUUCAACCCUCAAGCCCCCGGGUUUGGUGUUGGGGAUCGGCUCUGCCUUCUGGCGGCGCCGCCCCCGAAAUACAUUGGCGGUCUCGCUGCAGCCUCCAUUGCGUAGUAGCUAACACCUCGCAACUGGAACGCGGCGCGGCCAUGCCGUAAAACCCCAACUUCUGAAUGUUGACCUCGGAUCAGGUAGGAAUACCCGCUGAACUUAA